RNAcentral lists this ribosomal RNA (432 nucleotides) under uncultured bacterium. RNAcentral's name for it is "partial 16S ribosomal RNA". It matches the Rfam family "Bacterial small subunit ribosomal RNA", at positions 29 to 506 of the family's 1533-position model. The record is from RNAcentral.
AACGAACGCUGGCGGCAUGCCUAACACAUGCAAGUCGAACGAGACCUUCGGGUCUAGUGGCGCACGGGUGCGUAACGCGUGGGAACCUGCCCUUAGGUUCGGCAUAACUCCCCGACAGGGGUGCUAAUACCGGAUAAUGUCUUCGGACCAAAGAUUUAUCGCCUUUGGUUGGGCCCGCGUUGGAUUAGCUAGUUGUUAGGGUAAAAGCCUACCAAGGCGGCGAUCCAUAGCUGGUCCGAGAGGAUGAUCAGCAACACUGGGACUGGGACACGGCCCAGACUCCUACGGGAGGCAGCAGUGGGGAAUAUGGGACACUGGGCGAAAGCCUGAGCCAGCAAUGCCGUGUGAGUGAUGAAGGCCUUAGGGUUGUAAAGCUCAUUUACCCGGGAUGAUAAGGACAGUACCGGGAGAAUAAGCACCGGCUAACUCCGU